This 3282-nucleotide long non-coding RNA is filed under the name Bemisia tabaci. RNAcentral describes it as "lncRNA ENSSSA3NGG006589". The record is from RNAcentral. Lineage: Eukaryota; Metazoa; Arthropoda; Insecta; Hemiptera; Aleyrodidae.
CUUGCGGGAUCAAACUGUCCAAUGAUCUUAUCACUAAGAUAUGAAAUACAAAAUUUGAGACUAACAAAAAUUUAUAAAUUUAGAGAAUUUGUGACUACCUGCAUUCAAACUGGUUUUCUGCAUUGCUUUCUUCACUUUCAGAGUCUGAAUCACCAACAUGAUUUGCAGAGCUGGUUGGUGGCUGGUCCUUAGUAGCACCUUCUUUUUUUCUUUGUUUUCGUACCUGAUAAAGCUUCAAUUGUUGGAUGCAGUUCACUGUAAAUAUAUCGAAGAAGUACUUUGCCUUUUUUUUGCCCAAAGAUGGUUUCAAGCCAUACUUGCUCAGUUCAUUCUUGAUUUCAAUAGUCUUCAUACCACUGUAAUCCAACAUUGGGGUCACCUUGUUAGAGUGAAUUAACUGGGGAGAAGGUGUUCUCAUAACUUCUUGCCUUAUGGUUUGACAAGGGGCAUUGGAAGUUUCUGGGGCUUGUUGAAUAUUGCCUUCAAUUUGAUUGAGUAGUGAUUCAUUCUCAAACAACGAAUCAUUGGCAAAAUUUUCGCUCUGCUGUCGUCGUUUCUUCGGUGAGGCACUGCGGUCUACAACUUUGGCACUGAGUUUUACCGGAGAGGGUGAUUUGGAUUUCAACCUGACAGACUGAUUGAAAGGUGAGCUACAGGAUUUCCUAGAAUUAUUUAAAGGAGAGACACUAGUAGCACUUAGAUUGAGAUGAUCUUCUGGGAGAGAGGAAUUACAUCUUGACUGUUUUUGUUUGAUGUGGAGCCUGAUGAUACAACAAUUUUAUCUUGACUGGCAGUUUUUGGGGAAUUCCGUCAUUACUACUUUCUUUCCGACACUCAAGUGGUGACUUGGGGGUGAGUCUUCAGCAGCAGUAAAUACACCGUACCCUUCAUCGAAUGCUUCCCAAAAUGGACUUAUGUACCCGUAAUUAGCCUGCGUUUCUCUUUGCUUCCGGAAUUAUUUUCAGCCGGACUCGGAGGAAGUGAGUGAACUUCCGCUUCACUUCUAAAUCCAGGACUGCUACUUCCUCUCCUUUAUUUUCUGGUAGGAUCACAGUUGAAUCACUGCAAUUUAAAUCGGACUUGUUACAUUCUUCUUCAUGGCCGAUAUUAUCAAGAAUUGGAGGAGAGUUAGGAUUGGAUAAACUGUCCAACUGAAGAGUUCCAACAGUGGAAGCAGAUGAUUCUAGUGUCAAAUCGACAGAGACUAUCUUCUUGUCUUCGAGGCAACUUUUCUUUGAUUUAUCACUGUGGUCUGAAAUAGAUGACUUCCGUUUGCGGGAGGGAAAGCCGUUACUAGAUGUAGCAUCCUCAUCAGAAAGGUGUGGUAAUUCAAAAGGAGCAGAAUUUUCUUUGUUGUCAAAGCAAGUGCUGUCCGUAUUUUCUUGACUGUAAUGUUUUUCGGUAACGGUGUCUCUCAUUUCCUGAGAAGCACUUUUGACUGGAGAUAUGAUCUCGAUCUCAGUUCCUUGACUGGAUUUUGUGUUUUUAUCAUCGCUCAACUUGAAAAGCUCUUCCUCUACGGAGUCAAUUGCUUUGAUAUCAAAUUCUAAAUCAGUAUCUUUGGUACCUUCUUUUUCAGAGACAUGAGAAACUAUGUUGUCAAUUGUUUCUUCAUCACCCUGCUUUGACAAGCUUUGAAUUGACUCAACUACCUAAGUAAAUUUUCAGGAUGGCUUUCCAAAAAUGAUGUAUUCUGUGAUGGAGCUUCUUCUGCACCAAAGAUGUCAGGAGAUAGACUUCUGUUUAGUUUGUCACUGAUUUAUUUUUAUUUUGAGCACCUUCUGAAGAGGCUGGAACUUGUUUGCAUUCAGGACGACUUAUAUUUCGUGGUAUAUGACCGUGGUUUAUUUUCGAGGCACUGACAAAAGGAUUUAAUUGCAUUUUUGGUUUUGUUUGAUUGCUGACGGGCGAUUCAAAAUACAGCGAUUUUGUGAUUUGUUGCUUAUUCGAAGCCUCUCCUGCAUAGACGGAAAGAAAAUUAGGACUCUCUUCACCGAAGCACUCAGCAUAUGAAGAUAUCUGAUAAGCGCUGAAUCUUCAUACCUCUCUGCAAGACUACAGAGUUCUGUUUUUACGCCAUCAUCCAACUUUGAAAAAUCUACAGUAGCACAGUACAGAAAUUCUAGAAACAAAUCGAUGCAAGUUGCAGUAAAAUCAUUCCAAGCCAACAAGUGGGUUUGACAAUUCGUUCUGGGAUCUGUCUCUGAGAUCAAAUCAUCGAGGACACCAGGGCAGCGCGCAAAAAAAACAAGUCUGUGAGCAGGAAUUUCCCUUUCUUCUUUCGAGAGAAUUUCACAUCACUAAAAGUUUUACUCCUCAGCAAGUGCCGCCAGCUGGUUGAUAAGUCCUGCAAUGAUGACGCUUGCGUUGACUGCAUUCGAUUGGGCUUUGAAUUCGAGUCUUGCUUGUUUCCUGCUUUAAUGCAUUCUGAAUUAGAAGUAAACGUAUUUUUGACUUCACUGAACUUGAUUGAAUGAUGGCUGACGUUGCGUCUGAGCUCUUAGAAAAAGCUGGUUUGAAAAUUUCUUCCAAAUAUGCAUCAGACUUGAUCUGGAAAGUGAUAAAUACAUAAUAAUACAAAUACAAUACAAUACAAUAAAUUUAAUACUUUGAUCACAAAAAUCCUAAAUGUAGGAAAGUUGUUGAUAAUGUUUAAUAGACCUUUAAAUUCCCCCUGCCGCCAGCUUUCAUCCAGAAGGAGCUCCUUACCCUUCCUUCUAUCUAUAUUUUUGAGUGUAUUAAAUUCUCCAUCUUCUCUAAAUUAAUUACGCCUUUAGAUCUCUGUCCCUCCCACUCUUAUAAUAGCAGAUAUAAAAGCAUAAAAAAUUCAAAGAUCAGACUGACUUCAACAAUGCGCAAUGUAAAGUAUUCUUCUAUCCAAUUAUUUAAUGCCUUGCCUUGGGAACUAAAAUCUCUUUUUCGUGAAGGCCGAGUUCAAUAUUUUCUAAGUAAGCUCCUCGAGCAUCUCCUAAAAAAUGCUUUCUACAGUAUUGAUGAACUGCUGAAUGGAAUAACCCCGGCCACCCUCCUGGUUGAAUAGCUGACUCUGCCUCUCUUGUUACUACAAUAUUCUGUGCUUUCUGAUUGUUAGAAAUUUAAUACUUUUUGUAAACUCCAAAACUUUAUUGUAACUGAAUUUGACUUAUACUAUAGCCUCACGGCUCCCGUGUAUCAAUAUGCAAUAAAUAAAUAAAUAAAUAAAAAAAAAUUUGAGACGAUGAUCCUAAAAAAUUGAAAACUGCAUAGUGAUGUAUGAAAAGAGUAGGAUAAAGAAGUUAUGCC